Molecule: long non-coding RNA, 437 nt
Organism: Astatotilapia calliptera (eastern happy)
Lineage: Eukaryota; Metazoa; Chordata; Actinopteri; Cichliformes; Cichlidae
Source: Ensembl
UGUUAUUGUAAUGGGGAAGUCUUUAGGACCCAGGGGACCCAAUGGAGGGUAUAAAAGAGGAAGUAGCAGCAGGUGCUCUUCAUUUCCACUGACGAGCGGCUGUGAACAAUGGUUGUGUGAGUAGGUGAAGAGCCUGAGAAGUUUUAAUUGUCUGCUACACAAAAAGUUGUUUUAAACCUCUACAGCAGAGGUUCGAGUGAUUUUUACAAGAUAAGCCAAGAUAAGCCAGGUGUGCAGCAAACACAGUUGUCUGCUGGAGGGCAGGCUGCACAUGUGAAUUUGUCACUGUUUUUUCCUCCUUCUCCUUGUUGUUGUGUUUUUGGUUUUGGUAGGGUCACCUUUUAAAACUGUUUUUUUAUGCCGGGUUUGUUUUUAUUUCUACUGGGCUGGUGCAAUAUUAGUCGGGCAAUGUGCAAUCCCUGAGUGGGGCUCUUACC